RNAcentral lists this ribosomal RNA (287 nucleotides) under uncultured bacterium. RNAcentral's name for it is "partial 16S ribosomal RNA". It matches the Rfam family "Bacterial small subunit ribosomal RNA", at positions 71 to 353 of the family's 1533-position model. The record is from RNAcentral.
AAGAAAGUUUGCUUUCUUUUGCUGGCGACCGGCGCACGGGUGAGUAACACGUAUCCAACCUACCCUUUACUCGGGGAUAGCCUUUCGAAAGAAAGAUUAAUACCCGAUAGCAUAAUGAUUCCGCAUGGUUUCAUUAUUAAAGGAUUCCGGUAAAGGAUGGGGAUGCGUUCCAUUAGGUUGUUGGUGGGGUAACGGCCCACCAAGCCUUCGAUGGAUAGGGGUUCUGAGAGGAAGGUCCCCCACAUUGGAACUGAGACACGGUCCAAACUCCUACGGGAGGCAGCAUG